UCCAAUGCUAGGACUCCCUCAGGGACUUCAGUGGUAAUGGUAAUUAUUAUUGUUUUACUUGAUCUUCGUUACCACUUACCACUGAAGUCCCUGAGGAAGUCCUAGCAUUGGA
Molecule: non-coding RNA, 112 nt
Organism: Pelobates cultripes (western spadefoot toad)
Lineage: Eukaryota; Metazoa; Chordata; Amphibia; Anura; Pelobatidae
Source: the annotation of a GenBank genome assembly